This 286-nucleotide small RNA is filed under the name uncultured Catenibacillus sp. Its description in RNAcentral is "5' ureB small RNA". It matches the Rfam family "5' ureB small RNA". Lineage: Bacteria; Bacillati; Bacillota; Clostridia; Lachnospirales; Lachnospiraceae. The record is from RNAcentral.
CUGCUGUGGAGAAAUAAAAUGAAUAUGAGUAUCCAAUCCACCGGCAGUUAAAAUGAGUCCUUCUGCAGCAAGCGCCUCUGUGGAAGCGCCGACCGUCAUUCCCGGAGUCACACCAUCCAUAACUGCAGGAUUUCCGGCCUUUCCGAUGCCUGCAAUACGUCCGUUUUUAAUCCCUACAUCAGCUUUGUAAAUACCUGUAUAAUCUACGAUCAGCGCAUUAGUAAUUACCAGAUCCAGAUCUCCGUCAGCACUGGCAGUGGUCACCGACUGGCCCAUGCCGUCCCGC